Numida meleagris (helmeted guineafowl) is the source of this 564-nucleotide long non-coding RNA. The record is from Ensembl. Lineage: Eukaryota; Metazoa; Chordata; Aves; Galliformes; Numididae.
UCAGGUAUUAGUGACUGAUCUGCUGAAAGCAUUUGGAACUACUAUUUUAAAAAUCUCCUUCAAAAUUUCAGAAGGUCUUUGUCAAGGUGCAAUGGAUGCCUACAAUAAAUGGAAAGCAGUUCUACAGAAGGGGCAGUAAUGGCUGCUUGAUCCAGCAGUGGCUUCUGUCUGGCCCAGGAACACAGCAGGUCGAAGAAUUUAUCAUCUCUGUGAUUUAUAAUCCAGCUUCUGGAUGAAGUGGGGCUCCUAUGGUCAGUGCACAUGGGACUAGCACGCAGAAGGAUUUCCUGGAGUCUUCAACCAAGAUCAGUUUGGAAUUUAGAAAAUGUUUCAGUGGUCUGCAGAGGACUUCAGGAAGGUGGACAUCUGAGGCAAUACCUCUUGGUCAGAGCUACCAGUGUUCCUUAUUCAAGCCAAGUACCUGCUUAAUCCCUGCCACGGAAUAGCUUCCAGACUCUGGGCAGAGGGACAGAAGAGAUGAAGUACAUGAGAUCUGAACUUGGAAGAAGACUGAGGUAUGUGUGGCUGAAUAAAUGUUUCUAUAAAGCUGAAAUAUAUACGGUA